UACGUAGGGUGCAAGCGUUAAUCGGAAUUACUGGGCGUAAAGCGUGCGCAGGCGGUUGUGCAAGACCGAUGUGAAAUCCCCGGGCUUAACCUGGGAAUGGCAUUGGUGACUGCACGGCUAGAGUGUGUCAGAGGGGGGUAGAAUUCCACGUGUAGCAGUGAAAUGCGUAGAGAUGUGGAGGAAUACCGAUGGCGAAGGCAGCCCCCUGGGAUAACACUGACGCUCAUGCACGAAAGCGUGGGGAGCAAACAGGGUUAGAAACCCUAGUAGUCC
This 273-nucleotide ribosomal RNA is filed under the name uncultured bacterium. Its description in RNAcentral is "partial 16S ribosomal RNA". It matches the Rfam family "Bacterial small subunit ribosomal RNA", at positions 524 to 796 of the family's 1533-position model. The record is from RNAcentral.